ACGGAGGGUGCGAGCGUUAAUCGGAAUUACUGGGCGUAAAGCGUGCGUAGGCGGUUCGUUAAGUCAGAUGUGAAAGCCCUGGGCUCAACCUGGGAACUGCAUUUGAAACUGGCGGACUAGAGUUUAGUAGAGGGGAGUGGAAUUUCAGGUGUAGCGGUGAAAUGCGUAGAUAUCUGAAGGAACACCAGUGGCGAAGGCGACUCCCUGGACUAGAACUGACGCUGAGGUACGAAAGCGUGGGUAGCAAACAGG
RNAcentral lists this ribosomal RNA (252 nucleotides) under uncultured bacterium. RNAcentral describes it as "partial 16S ribosomal RNA". It matches the Rfam family "Bacterial small subunit ribosomal RNA", at positions 525 to 776 of the family's 1533-position model. The record is from RNAcentral.